AAAUAUUCAAUAAAAUAUUUUAUUUUCUUAUAAAACAAUAUUUAUAGAGUUACCGGUAAAUAAUUUUUGUAGCGUAAAAGCUAAAUAAAUUCAUACAUACUGUAAUACAGAUAACCAAAGCAUAAGAUUUUAUUUACAGUGACACGUGGACCGACGAACGACCAAAAGUAUCAAAAGCGAUAAACCUACAGUUUUUGAGGAUGCAAGUCCAACUGUAGCCCUCAACGAAAUGAGCUAUCUACCGACUAUCCUAAGUCUGAAAGGGGUGGAAAGGAGGGUGGUGAGAUUAUAUAAUCCCAGUGAGUAAACAAAUAUCAUCUAAAAUAUCUAAAGCCAAGUAAAUGGAGACAGACAAAAUAGAUUAGCAUAAAAAUGAUUCACAUCAUUUCGAACUCAUUUUAAUAAGAUAAAAUAGAUUCAUUUCAUCCAAAUAAACAACGAGGCUUAUGAUUUCCUGAAAAGCUUGGCUGGUGCCAAAAUCAUUCUCAUACUCAAUUAUCAGGGAUACCUUGGCCUAAGGCUAUCCUAAUCGAGUCCGCCAAGGCUGUUAAAAAGUUAUGUACGCAUAAAUCAUGUUUUUAUUUUGAAAACAUAGCCAUUCCUUGACGUUGGCUGAGUUCACCCUCAUGUGGUAGUUUGGAGUGAAGGUUGUACCUCAGGAGUUACCCUACGCACCUCCCCAAUCGAGGUAAGAAUAUAACAGGAUUACGUGCCCCUCAAAAAGGUUGGUCCACAAAACCCGCCCACUGCAACAAGUUAAACCCACCAUACAAUAAAAUUUGCAAUAGCAUGACAUAGAAAUUAUUUUAUUUUACAGCCUCUCAAGGAAAAUCAAUAGUUCAUACAUUUUCAGCACAUUUACCAAUUCAACCAUUCAUGCCAAUAUUAUCAUAAGCCAUUCAAUUCAAACCAUGAUUUAUAACACAGCAAUUAGUGUCCAAUUACUUCAUUUUCAAAACCAUCUUUCAAUUUCAAGACAAUUUUAUAAAAUCAUUUCAUUUAAUCACAUUUUUGCUUAUAAAACAUAAAGAUUUACCAUUUAAACUCAUUUUCCAUAAAAUCACAAAAAUGAAUUAAAAUUCACUUUAGAUAAUCAAGAUGAUGAUAAGGUUAUUCACUGUAUCAGGAGUUUGAAAUACUUCUAUUCUCAGUCCUCUGACACAACGUCUUUACCCUUGUUAGAGAGCUCACCACCUAUAUACAAUACACGACACAUAAUUCAAUAUAUUGUGUCAUACCAUUAUAAAUCUAUUUCAGACUCUUUACUAAUGCAUGAAAUGGGAUGUGAAAUGCUCGAGUAACCAUCUAAAUACGGUGUUCAAUAUAAGUUCAAUUGUGUACCUAACUAAAAUGGUAUCGGCCUAAUUCGAUCUAUCACCCGAUUAAUUGGCCAAUACGUCCAAUUCAACUCCAAAUAAUUUCAUUUUUCUCCCAAUACUCCAAAUCAUCAAACAUAAGUCAAAUAGCAUAAAAUUUAGCAAAAAUCAUCUUCACAUUUUCUCUUGGGAAUUUCGGCCAUGGUGGGUGCAUCAAUACUAUGAUUUUUCCUACUUGAUUUUCUCACCGUAAUUCAUCAUUUCCUAACCAAUUCACUUGAAAUAAAAUCAAAAUCAUCAUCAAUAUUCUACAUGGAGAAUUCGGCCAAUGAGGGUUAUGGAAGAACAUGAAUUUUUCUUGCUUGAUUUUCAUGCUACACAUCACCAAUCAACUAAAAACACUAGAAUAUCUUAAAAUCUAACCAAAACAAUCAUCAAAAUCUCUCUCUAAGUGUUCAGCCAGCAAAAUACCCAUCAUGAAAUCAUGUGAUUCAACCAUGAAAAAUGCAAAAGAAUGUAUGGGAAAGGUAGAUCACAAGUCAAAAUCAAGAAAUUUUACCUUUGAUUGCUUGAUACUUGAAAUCCACGAAUUUUCUCUUGAAUUUUCACUCUAGGGUUUUUGUUCUUUCUUUUCUUCCUUUGUUCGUGCUUUGGCCGGC
RNAcentral lists this long non-coding RNA (1975 nucleotides) under Theobroma cacao (cacao). Its description in RNAcentral is "long non-coding RNA (TCAC_LNC003844)". The record is from RNAcentral. Lineage: Eukaryota; Viridiplantae; Streptophyta; Magnoliopsida; Malvales; Malvaceae.